RNAcentral lists this transfer RNA (72 nucleotides) under Ictidomys tridecemlineatus (thirteen-lined ground squirrel). RNAcentral's name for it is "Spermophilus tridecemlineatus (thirteen-lined ground squirrel) tRNA". It matches the Rfam family "tRNA". From Rfam's summary of the family: Transfer RNA (tRNA) molecules are approximately 80 nucleotides in length. The record is from Rfam by way of RNAcentral. Lineage: Eukaryota; Metazoa; Chordata; Mammalia; Rodentia; Sciuridae.
GGGGUUGUGGCUCAGUGGUAGAGUACUUGCCCAGCACACGUGAGGCACUGGGUUCAAUCCCCAGCAUCAUUA